UUUGCUUUGUAAAUAAUUCAGUCCAAGUGAAGAAAUUAAAACUGAAGUUGCAGCUUCUGUUCACCUCCAUACCCUGUGCACACCUCUUGUAAGCACACCUCUUUAGCAUGGAGAUGCAGUGGUUGUACAGGUUGCACUGCUGCCAGAGCACCCAAGGAGAUGCAGUGGUUGUACACACAUUGUACGACUUCCAGAGCACCCAAGGAGAUGCAGUGCUAAUCAUGCAUGUGUGCUUGUUUUGGUGCAAAGUCCAGUGGCUCCUGAAGGGGAGCUCAAAGCUAAGCAGAUUUGGGUUUGUUUAGUUUUAGCUGAGCCAAUUAAAGGGAAAGAACAGGUUGCUGAUGUUUCUGGAGCUGGCAGCAUGUGGCACACAGUAGGGUAUUUGUUGGGUGGUAGUGGUGCCGUGUGUCCACACUAGUGCAUUUCUCAGAUCUCAUCUAAUUACAAAGUUCUUCAGGAUCCUUAAUGCAAGCAGUUUCUUUCCCUCGUACUGCUUGCACUUACUUGUCUCCCCCAGAAGAAGGGCAAGUAUUUCUAUCAUGCUGUCAAGUAAAAACGUUGAGUUUGGGUGCUUUGGGUGUGUAAAUGUGAGACUUAGUCAAAGCAAUUAGCUGAGUAACCAUUCAGCUUAAAUUGUUUUCCUACCCAGUUUCCAGGCCGUGACUAACACCCACUAUGAUACACACCCAGCCUUUUCCAGCCCUCACAACUGAUACACCAAGCUUCAGCUGCCUUGGGAUGGACAAUCACACAGCUCAUUUUGGGGCUGUCUGCUCAAUCGUUGCACAUCUACAAGUAAAAAAAAAAAGGCAGCAAAACAAAAAUUAUAUGUGUUUCAAAACAAAAGCACAUAUAAUGGGGCUGACGCUUUGUAGGUACCAGUUUUUCAUUUAAACUUUGUCUGUGUAUGUUCUUGUUCAAGUACUUCUCACUGCUCUUCACACUGACCAGCUUUGCUGUGUGAAUAGGAGCUGCUUGUAACUAAGUCCUAUACAGGGUUUUUAAAAGCAAGACUACGUCUAAAAUUGUUUAAAGUGUUUGAUAAAAUAAUUUGUAAACAAGAUGUUAAAAAACAUAGAACAGGGAGGUCAGAUGAGACUUGAAAACACAUUGCUAUAAGACAGAUUAACAAAGUCAUUCUUGGUUAGAAAUUGAGUCUCACCCCAGGCCAGCAAAAGAAAUGCCACAGUUUUCUGAUCCUGUGGCCUCAGAAACAUCCCAACAUCUAGUAUCACCUUAUUUGUCCUCACGCCUGCUGCACCACUCCUCAGUCUUCCCAGUUCCAGCUCUUUGCACGGCUAUGCUGUGAACCAGAUCAAGGAACUUGAUCCACUGAAAAAUAAUAGAAAACAGCAGCAUAUAAAAAUAAUUUCAUGAUCUAGUUCAUGGCAUGUGCCUCACAUCUGGGAGGAGCAGUGGCUGAAUUCCUGCCAUCUGCACUACCCUGGAAAUCAGCCUGGCAUAAAACUCUGGUCCAGCCUGACCAAGGACAUGGAAAAGGUGACUUUGGCAGGGAACCUGAAGGAUAAGGAAAUAGAGAGAAGGGCUUCUUCCAGUGGCUACAGGGAAUCCUGGGAAAGGAGGUGAUUUUCAGCUGGAUCAUGAGCAGCAAAGCCAGAGGAUAUCUGUUGGAGUGCGGGCAAGUCCAGCUUGUUUGGACACAAGGAAUGUAAGCAGCAGCAGGAGCCUUCGUGGGGAAGGACGUCAUUGCAGCAACACGAAAGCAUCAACUGCUAACACUGUAUUUAUCCAAACCGUAAAGAACAAUUUUAAAUAAGAAGAGGUUUCAAAGCUGUGUUUAGCUGGAAGAUCUGUGUGGGAGAGGGGUGGAUACCUUUGGACUUUGUUAAUAAUUAAGUGGAGGAGUGUGUUAAAACCUAUGGAAUGGACAGCAUGGUAGUAAAAAUACUGUGACUCAUUGAAGCUGGCGGUUAGCAAACAGUCCCAAGUAAACAAAAUUACACAUGACAGAUCCUUGUGUAGCAAGACCCAUCUCUGUCUAGUGAAACCGAGCCUGAAAUGCCCCAUUUGCUUCUGAAAACCUCAUGACCUUGUGGAAACAAUUUGAUGCUGAACCUGCAAGAAAUAGAAAUUGUGUUCAGAACUAAAUGAAAAUCCAGCAUGUUUUCUAAGCUAUGCAUUUGCAACAUUCAGCAUAUUUUCCAAACAGUUUUUUCUCCUAAUAAUCCCUGAGCUAAUGUCUUUCCAGUUAAAAAAACCCAAAAAUAUGAAGAAACUGUCUUGUCUUGUAUGAUUUCAUUCACUCCAAAUGCAUCAAGAGCCAGAAGAAAAAUCUGGAUAUAUGGUUUAAAAGAGGACAGAACAAGAACUUCUCUAAGGAGCAGCCUACAGGCACGGAAAGCCUCAGAUGCCCCGCACAGAGCGAGGUCCCCGCGGCGCUGCAAGGGGAAGGAAGGCACUGUUAUGCUAUCACAGGGCUAGACUGGAAACUGAGUCAGGAAGAAAUCCACAAAGCCAGGUGUCACAGGUAUCACAGGUGUCACAGGUGUCACACAACUGCACUUCAUGGUGUUCUGGUAGCAGAGGAGUCUUUGGGGUAAUAUUAAUAUAGCACUGCUGAAAAUGGAAAACCACACUCCCUCCUCCUACCCCUUCUUUCAGGCACAGGCUCCACCAUUUACUUUCUUUGGGCUUUAGCAUUCUUGGCAUUUUUCAACCCCCAAAAGAUUGGCUAGUUGUCUGAAGGUUAGGGACUUGCAUUGCCUCAGCUGGGAGCCACAGAACAGAGCAGGCACAAUGGUGAGGAGAAGACACCAGGAGAGGGCAGAAGGAAGAGACCUUCCCCCUUGCAUCUGUAAGGUGUUCUAUCAGUUCACUUGUUUGUUAAACUGCACCUUGGAAGAAGGUGGUAAAGGCCAUAUCCACUUUCUUUGGAUAUUAAAAAGCAGAUCAAAGAGUGGUUGAAAUCCAUGGUGGGUUGUUUGGUUUCCCAUUGCACCAGUAUUAGUUUUAUUUCUCUUUUCCUUCCCCUAUCUUCAAACCCCUUGAUGGAAUCAAUGUCCCUUUUUGCAAGAAUACGCUGUCCUUACCUGCUCUCUUUGUAUCCGUCCUUCAAGCCCUAUUUCUUUUGCAAACUUUGUUUUACCAAUUGGCCAAUGCUUCAUUGGCUACUUUUAACAUAAUUAUACUAAAUUCUUGCUCCUAUUUAUCUGACUAUUCAGUUUUUUGGGGUUAAAUCUUACCAUUUUCCUCAAUUUUAUAAAGCGUUGUUUGCCUAUACAUAGCUAAAGAUCCUAAGAAAUUUUAGCAACUUUCAUUUGCUCUUAGAGAAAAGAAUCAAGUCAGUCAUUACCCCACUAUCAAUCCCAUGAACUAUAUGCAGAAAAAUAUUAUUUAUUACAUAAAUAAAGGUGAACUAGAAAUUAAAAAAAUCAGGGUGGAAUACUGGUAUCAAAAUGUACUUAAUCCAGACUCAGUGAAUCUCUUGUUAAAAAUAAAACACAAUGCUGAUUUUUUUCUCCCUAAACUCUGUAAAUCCUUGGAGAUCUCAAGUGGAACAACCAACCAUUUUUUUGUUGUUUUUUUCUGUCUCUAGCUCUUAUGUUAGUUUUUCACUCCAGAAAUAAAAAUUUUACAGCUGGUAUACAUAUUACACUAAUGAUGCUUUGAUUUAGAAAUACAACUAACAGAUGUUAAAUUAAUCUAGUCAGAUUUGAAUUACCUUUGAGACCUGGCUACAGCAUUUGCUUCUGGAAGGUAUGCACAUUUUAUUUGUACCCCUGGUUCAUGAAAGUCAGGCUGUCUUUGGAUAAAUGAUGAUUUCAUGUUUUUCUCAGAUAUCCACUCAUGUCUAUAAAUUUGAAAGAUGUGUAUUGUGCUAUCGGAAAAUGUACUUUGAAGUCAGUUUUAGAUUUGGUUGCUAAUCUGGUGGCCCUGCUUUUCUCUUCUGUAAACAGAGAUAAAUAGUUUCCAGUGGGCCUGAAUCCAGCAAAGCUCUUCACUAAAUAGCCUCUAGGUAGAGUUACUUUGGAGUGAAGGAACAAACCCUACAUUAAAAGAAAAUGUUGAUAAUACAAAUGUAUGAGAAUACCUAAUGCUUCCUGCAAUAUGUGCAGUUUUCUGAAUUUGGAUAGCUGAUCUGGACACUGCUCCAGCCAGAACAGCAGGUUGUACUCAGUGCAGUCUGUACCUGAUACAAGGUUUCUGAUAAGCUCCUGGAUAUCAAGAAGAUUAUUGAACAAAUAUGUUUGAUACAGUAGGCUACUAUUUUAUAUUGUUUUUCCAUUCCUCAUCACAAGUCAUGAUAGGACUAGUAGAAAUUAGGUUAUUCAACUCUAAGGCUUUGCUGCUCCAAGAGAAUAAAAUUGUACUUUUAAAAGUAUUCAUGAGCUUCAGGAAAAAAACCCAACACCUUUAUUCCCUGAAUUAAUCACUUGGAGCAAUGCACUAAGUAUACUGAGCUGUUCUUUUUGUGGAACACGAGGAUCAAGCCUUUGUUCUUGGCAGCCACAUCCUUCAUGCCGUGCAUGCUGGAACCCACCGCUGUUAUUUCUCGCUGCUCACGGAGAGCAAAGCGGUCUGCAGCAAAAAAAGGGGCAGCUCCUCCCAGAAGGGCCUGUGCUACAGCAGCAGCAGCAAACUCCCAGGGAGAGCCUGAGGAUACAUGGGUCACAAUAAAGGUCACAAUGAAAGCCUGGUGUGGCAUCUCCAUUCUGCAAAUGCUGCACUGGACUUGGCACCUUCAUCAGUUCUUAUGGGUGGUGCUCAGACUGAGGCUCAGCAGUGGGAAGCUGGUAUUAAAAAAAGGAAAAUAAUGGACUGCUGAGAUGUGCCAGAUGCAGAGACAUUGAGGAGGAGAGAAACAGAGGCCUAAUCUAACAAACAGAAAAAUUACAUUCUUGCUUUCCUUUUGUAUCACCACAAAAAAUAGAAGUGGUUAACACAGCAAGAUUGCAGCUGUGGCAUUAGUUCUUGGUACUUGGAGGUCAGUUCUGCACACCACACAAACCCGUCUCGUUAUCCCUUUGCCAGGGGCAGAUGGAUGCAUUGAUUCCUUGUAUAUAUUCACCUUUGACUGAUCUGCCUCCAAACACCUGGGCCACAACUUACAGAUGAAGGCAGCAGCAGAGAACACCUUGCUGCAUGCUAACUCUUCAGCAUUAAAUGGAUUUAAAAAGCACUGUUUUUCAGAAAAGAAAGGACUCAUAACCACCAGCAGUGGCUUAGCUUUACAAAGUGCAGUCACCCAGUGUUAACAAAGUUAUUCUUCCUAUUUGUCAGCAGGCACAGAAACCUUGCAGGGCUCCACCCAGAUCUGUGCAGGCCUUGUAGAGUCAUCAGAUUUGGUAAGAAUUCAGCUGUGCAGAAAAAAGAUGUAACCAUAAGUGCAGAUCUUUUGCCCUCAAAUUAGUGGAAGCUGGAUACAACAGGUGAUCUUUUAGAUUGACCUUUUAACAUUCAUGAUACAUACACGACUUCUCUGCAAAAUGAGGAUGAAUGCCUACUUAUUGAAUUUAUUUUCACAUUUGCUUGCUAGAACCAGUCCUCUCUCACUUAAAAACAUUUCUCUUUGCAUUUGUCUUAUGGCAUUAAAGAACACAGAUAAGUGAUUCCCAUAAACUAUUAUUUUUAAAUCCUUGUAAAAGUUUUUCUCUACAAAUAGCAAAGAAUACCCCCAGGAAAUUAUUUAAGCCUAAAAAUUAAAUAUUUGUUGUUCCCUCAGGUUGAAAAGAAAAGUUGUAGUCCCUCUUCUAAGCAGACAAAACACAAGGCCCAACAGGAUCUGAGCAACAUAGUCACCAAAGCCACUAAAUAAACCUAAAUCAAGUUUUAGCAAACCAUAGAGUAGCAGUUUAAAAUACUCUGGGAGUAGUUUCCUAUUACCAGCAGCUGGUUUAAAAUAGUAACACGACCAUUGUGCCAUCCUCCAAAAUAAAGUUUUUAUCAUAACAAAAACAUUUGCCUGGAGUAAAUGGACAUUGAUUAACUGUGGACUUCUAUACCAGUGAUUGCACUGUGUAAAAACAAGGUGGAGAGAAUAGAAAACACCUGAGACAAAACUAUUUGUACCUGUUUCCAUAUUGCUGCUUAGAACAGUAGCCACUCACCCUUUGAACAAAGAUAAAAUGAUUUACUUCUACUAUCAAAAAACCCCGAAGCCCACCCUCCCAAACUGAAAUAAACAUAUUUCUUCCUUAUUCCUAAUGUGUAUGACUGGUACUUCAAGCUUUUUACUCUUAGAUUAUUUUGUUUUUCCAGUUGUUGAUAUAGUUAAAUCUCUCAAAAAAUUUGGAAUUUACAUGCUUUGAGUUUUUCAGUGAUGAAAUUUAACACCACCUCUCACCCUGUCGUGGUUGUAAGUCUAUUGCACUGAAGGUCCCCUGCAACUUGGCAUGGAGGUACAGAUUAAAUAACAAAUUCAAAUUAGUUAUUUCAAACGCACCUGGAAAAUAUUUUGAAAACAUAAUGAAGCCAAUGACUAAAAGACUGUGCUCUGGGACAUAUUUAAUGAUUAUUGUUACCAUCACAGAGAUCUCUGUAAGAAAAUUUGCUGCCCUCAAAGAGGCAGUGAAGGAAGGAACAGGCUUUGAAGAUCAUCUCAGUGUGGGACACUCUCCAGGUUUUUCUGUGAAGAUGUCUCCAGUGAAAAGCUUACAAAACCAGAAGUUUAAAGUGCUGGAAUGGCAGUGAUGCUUGAGGCUGAUCAGGGCAGCAUCUACAUAGCCUAGAGCUCUUUCUUUCCUACUGAAUGGUGUCUGACAAAAGGCUGAGCCCAAGCGUUUUUACUUAAGAAAGGAAGAAUAGCAGACGAUUUUUUUAUCUCUUCUACAGAAAGUAAAAUACCUGAUCUUGCUCGGAUCUGGAACAGGGGCGUGUCAUGGGAACACCUUUGUGAAAGAGAAGAUUAGGGGGAAGCUUCAUUCCUUGUGCUGAGCUGGAUUUGGGCCUUUCAGAAGCACCAUGAAUGAGCUGGAGUUUCUGGACCUGUGUUUUCAGGAGACUGUAACUGCUGCUUGCUAAAUGUCCUUGCACAUGUCUUUGGCCUUUGGCUCCAUCCCCAUAAACUCAUUUAAUGCGUCUCCCUGUGGAGAUGUGGAGUUGGGAGGCAAUAGCUUAAGUGGCUUCUCUGAUGUCACCACCCUGUACUGACUUAGUUAAUUUAAAUAACACCUCAUUUUAAGCAAUUAAGUUCUUGUUUUUUCUUAGGCUCUUGUUUCUUAAGCUCUUGCUCAGAAAGUCAUCAUGAUCCUCCAUAAUAUACAUAAGUCUUGAUGAAAUGGGCUUACAUUUGGACCUGGAAUGAUUGCUUUACUUAUCUUAGUUUGUAUGACUAUUCACUGCAUUCACUGGGAAAGACCCAACCCAGUAAAAUUUUACAUUUGCAUUUUUACACAAGGCAGCAAUAUUGACUGUGUGGUUACUAAAGAGCUUGAGAGCAAGUUGGAAAAAUUAAUAGAACUAUUUCCUAGCCAUACACACAUUGCAUGUGUGCCAGGAAACAAGCAAAACCUGAUUUCCCAAGUAUUUUGUGUGAUGGGAACUUCAGCUGGCCACGUCCUUUCCCCCAGCUCCUUUAGCCCCGUGUCCUUUAUUUUCAGCUCUAGACUGAACACCCUCCAGCAUCCUUCUUUUUGGGGCAAAGUAGCUGAUUUGCCCCCAUGCACAUGCUGCCUGUCCAGCUGGCACUCAUAAUUGGUCAGGCAAACACUAAUUGAGUGAGGAGAAUAAUCGUUACCGGUAAAAAUUACAGUAAAACCUGCCCUCUACCAUUCAAAACCUACAUGCACUGUACUGACAGCUUCUCUAUUAAUUUUGGUGCAUUUUGAAUCAAUGUUUUCUUUGCCUGUUGGGAAAUCCCAUCUUUGUACAGCAGAUUUCUCACACGAAAUCAUAACUAGAUUUUAAAUGUUCUGAUUUGUGAAGAGCACAUAAACCUGGUGUAAAUUCGCAGUUCAUCCUUGCUCUGA
Oenanthe melanoleuca is the source of this 7928-nucleotide long non-coding RNA. RefSeq lists it as uncharacterized. The transcript is spliced from 3 exons. The record is from RefSeq and is a predicted model, not a curated record. Lineage: Eukaryota; Metazoa; Chordata; Aves; Passeriformes; Muscicapidae.